AUCUCAAUGUCGGGAGGCGGAGAGCAUUACUCAGCUUCUGGCCGCGCGCCUCUAUGGGGAAUUACUGAACUCAUCUGCUUUCAUUUUUCCUCAGGUCACUCCAAACACACAGCGCUCAGCGCUAUUGACAGAGACACACACUUCUCAUUUCUUGGUCAUAAAUUGAUUCCGUCCUGGAUAAUCGCCUUGAGAGCACCAGCCAAACAUGGGGGAAAUGCAGUGAAUCUCUCUUCAGUUUCUACAGUAGAGGCAGAGGCAGCUCAAAGACAGUCUGGUGAAGUUUAAACCAUGUCCUGCUUUGAGGCGGGAGGAAUGCAGCAGUGUCCCAUCUGAUCCAGGGGAAUGGAACCACAGCAGAAGACAGCCACACGCUCGGGUUAGGGCGAGUGAGGUGAGAGGGGCUGAGGAGAAGGUGCUUAAGGAAUUUAGAGUUCAAGCAAAAUGUGCUUGAACAAAUCUACCAAACUUUGUCAGAGCCCAUUUUGCUGUAUGAAUGUAUGUAUGUAUAAUCCAGUUGAGGUGUGGGGCAGAGCAGGAUAUCACAUGACCUGUUCUCGUUGCGCUGUGUGUAGCGUGGCUGGGGGUCAGAGUCUCCAUCGUUGACAUCAUAGCUGGCCUCAGGGUCCUGGGAACAGAGAUGGAAACAGGUGUUCGAGACUGUGGAUACGGCUGAAUUACAUCCUUUCAUGAAAUGGGUGGUAAAGGCCGCAGGUAGCCUAGCGGUUAAGAGUGUUGAGCCACUAACCUAAAGGCCACUGGUUCAAAUCCCUGAGCCGACUAGGUGUAAAAUCUGUUGAUGUGCCCUUGAGCAAGGCACUUAGCCCUAAUAGCUCAUGUAAGUCACUCUGGAUCAGAGUGUCUGCUAAAUUAUAAGGAUAUGGUGAGUGACAACUCUCAGAAUGCAUCUCAACAGCCUUAUUGAGAGUCUCUUUUCCUCCAGCUGUUGCUGCACUUUAAAGCAAUUCCUGGAAAGUAAUUUGAGGCUGAAGUAGGCAUCCUCACAUUGCGUUCACCUAGCUGUGUGUCUCAGAGAAUGCAGAUGAAAUGACUGUUCUUCUUCUAUCUCAUCUGCACUAUGUGAAAACACAGGCAAGGUGAAAGCAAUGUGGAGCUGGGAAGAAGGCUACUUCUUCUUCCAUCCAUCCAGACAGAGCAGGUUGUGUUUGUAUGUACUCACAU
Oncorhynchus kisutch (coho salmon) is the source of this 1179-nucleotide long non-coding RNA. RefSeq lists it as uncharacterized. The transcript has 3 exons. NCBI's taxonomy places the organism in Eukaryota, Metazoa, Chordata, Actinopteri, Salmoniformes, Salmonidae. The record is from RefSeq and is a predicted model, not a curated record.